AUUCAGUUGACGAGUCCCAAAUAGGACAGAACAUGUGUCCUGGAU
RNAcentral lists this non-coding RNA (45 nucleotides) under Schistosoma margrebowiei. The record is from RNAcentral. Lineage: Eukaryota; Metazoa; Platyhelminthes; Trematoda; Strigeidida; Schistosomatidae.